UACGUAUGUCGCAAGCGUUAUCCGGAUUUAUUGGGCGUAAAGCGCGUCUAGGUGGUUUGGUAAGUCUGAUGUGAAAAUGCGGGGCUCAACUCGGUAUUGCGUUGGAAACUGUCAAACUAGAGUACUGGAGAGGUGGGCGGAACUACAAGUGUAGAGGUGAAAUGCGUAGAUAUCGGGAGGAAUGCCAGUGGAGAAGGCAGCCCACUGGGCAGAUACUGACGCUGAAGCGCGAAAGCUUGGGUAGCAAACAGG
This 252-nucleotide ribosomal RNA is filed under the name uncultured bacterium. RNAcentral describes it as "partial 16S ribosomal RNA". It matches the Rfam family "Bacterial small subunit ribosomal RNA", at positions 524 to 776 of the family's 1533-position model. The record is from RNAcentral.